This is a long non-coding RNA of Vicia villosa (hairy vetch), 1487 nucleotides long. RefSeq lists it as uncharacterized. The transcript is spliced from 3 exons. The record is from RefSeq and is a predicted model, not a curated record. Lineage: Eukaryota; Viridiplantae; Streptophyta; Magnoliopsida; Fabales; Fabaceae.
AAUUAUAAAGUAAUCUAACUUCUUAAGCUUAUUAUAUGCAAAGAAGAAAAAAUGAUUCAAAUCCUCAAAUUUAUGUAUCCUUUGAUAGUCUUUCUUUCUUUAUUUCUUGUUGUAACAAAUGCCAUCAAGGGUAAUCGUCCAAGCAGACCUACAAUCUAUUCUCCAUUCCGUUGUAAAAAUCUUUGGGAUUGUUGGUAUAAAGCAUGUCGCAUUCCUUUAAAACCUCGAUGCGUUUCUUUUUUGUGUGAGUGUGUGGAAGGAGAAUCAAGUUGAAAAAUAGUUCUAUGUUACUUUAAGCUCAAAAAUAACUUAUUGUAAUAUAAUAAAAUCAUUCUUACAUGUUCAUUUUGCUCAUAAUAUAUAAUGAAAACUGCAUCUUGACUAUAUAUUUAUGUAAGAAUUAUAGGCCUUGUAUUUUCAUUGAUAUUAUCGGUGUUAUAUACAAUAAGGAUUUUCAUAAAUAGUCUUAUAUACUAUCAUUACUAUUCUAUAAAUAGAGAUAUGUACAAUUAUGACCUAAUACAGUAAUAGUCUAAUACACCUUCGUAGUCGAAACGGGAGGUUGAUGAAUGUUGAGAUUAUCACAAAAAUCAUCAAAGAGUUUGUAAUACGGUGGGAGAACUGACUUUUUAUUUUGUUUCUUGCAAAACAUGUUGCGGUUAACAAGAGUCGCCACCGAAUUUUCUUUUAUCCAAUAAGGAAAAGUUGAAAAGAACAGGAAAGACCUUGAUAGAUUUUGAGUUCGGGGUAGGUUAUACAAAGGGAAGGUACUAGCACCCUUUGUAUCCAUGGUUAUCCAUGGGCUCUUAAUUGCUUAACUCACUUUAAUUUGCUUUGUCUGAUAAGUUGUGUGUAUUUAUAAAAUACUUCGAAAAAGUUUAACUUUGUAAUGAUUCUCGUAUGAAUGUAUACAAAGUGCUUUUUUAAAGUAUUUAUGAAAGAGUGAUGUUUGGAAAUAUUUUGUAAAAAACUUGACUUUGUAAUGAUUCGUGUAAGAAUGUAUACAAAGUAUUUGCUUUUUGAAAAUAACUUUGAAAGUAUGAGGUGUGAAAAUGAUUUUUGAGUGUGAGCAAGCAAUUAGGAGCAUCUACCCACUAAGUAUUGGUCUUUCCUAUUUUUGUUCCAUUUCCUUUGGAGAGAGUAUUAUCCAUGCCAUUAGUUGGUAGGAAAUCCUAUCUAUUGGAUGAGAAGGGACAGGCGUAGGGUCAUUGAAUGGUCAUAGAAGGCAACAUGUAAGGAUACCUUAACAAUUCGAAGGGACUAUCAUCAUUUUUCCGUAGGGUCAUCGAGGGACAAGAUCAUAUUUUCGUAGCAACUCGAAGGGUCAUCGAGGGACUGUGAUUUUCUAUCGAAGGGACUAUGAUGAUUUAUUCGUAGGCAACUUUUGUUAAGAUAUCUCUACGUUCGAGGGACAUGACCAAGUAAUCGAAAGGCAACGAGGAGAGGUUACCCUAGGGGUGCAAGUGUGCAAGAAAGUAAAGUGCAGA